Molecule: ribosomal RNA, 485 nt
Filed under: uncultured bacterium
Lineage: Bacteria
Description: bacterial SSU rRNA
Rfam family: Bacterial small subunit ribosomal RNA
Source: RNAcentral
AUUGAACGCUGGCGGCAUGCCUUACACAUGCAAGUCGAACGGCAGCACGGGAGCAAUCCUGGUGGCGAGUGGCGAACGGGUGAGUAAUAUAUCGGAACGUGCCCAGUGAUGGGGGAUAGCCCGGCGAAAGCCGGAUUAAUACCGCAUACGACCUACGGGUGAAAGCAGGGGAUCGCAAGACCUUGCGUCAUUGGAGCGGCCGAUAUCAGAUUAGCUUGNGGUGGGGUAAAGCCUACCAAGGCGACGAUCUGUAGCUGGUCUGAGAGGACGACCAGCCACACUGGGACUGAGACACGGCCCAGACUCCUACGGGAGGCAGCAGUCGAGAGGCUUCGGCAAUGGGGGAAACCCUGACCGAGCGACGCCGCGUGAAGGAUGAAGGCCCUUGGGUUGUAAACUUCUUUUGUUCGGGAAGAAAUGCGAUCAGGUAAAUAAUCUGGUCGUUUGACGGUACCGGACGAAUAAGCUCCGGCUAACUCCGUGCC